RNAcentral lists this ribosomal RNA (433 nucleotides) under uncultured bacterium. RNAcentral's name for it is "partial 16S ribosomal RNA". It matches the Rfam family "Bacterial small subunit ribosomal RNA", at positions 29 to 507 of the family's 1533-position model. The record is from RNAcentral.
AACGAACGCUGGCGGCAUGCCUAACACAUGCAAGUCGAACGAGACCUUCGGGUCUAGUGGCGCACGGGUGCGUAACGCGUGGGAACCUGCCCUUAGGUUCGGAAUAACUCCCCGAAAGGGGUGCUAAUACCGGAUAAUGUCUUCGGACCAAAGAUUUAUCGCCUUUGGAUGGGCCCGCGUUGGAUUAGCUAGUUGGUAGGGUAAAAGCCUACCAAGGCGACGAUCCAUAGUUGGUCUGAGAGGAUGACCAGCCACACUGGGACUGAGACACGGCCCAGACUCCUACGGGAAGCAGCAGUGGGGAAUAUUGGACAAUGGGCGAAAGCCUGAUCCAGCAAUGCCGCGUGAGUGAUGAAGGCCUUAGGGUUGUAAAGCUCUUUUACCCGGGAUGAUAAUGACAGUACCGGGAGAAUAAGCUCCGGCUAACUCCGUG